CGUGCCUAAGAAAAACAAGUCGAGCGGACCUGUAUGGAGCUUGCUCCAGACAGGUUAGCGGCGGACGGGUGAGUAACACGUAGGCAACCUGCCCGCAAGACCGGGAUAACGUAGGGAAACUUACGCUAAUACCGGAUAGGGCACUCUCUCGCAUGAGAGGGUGCGGAAAGGUGGCGCAAGCUACCACUUGCGGAUGGGCCUGCGGCGCAUUAGCUAGUUGGUGGGGUAACGGCCUACCAAGGCGACGAUGCGUAGCCGACCUGAGAGGGUGACCGGCCACACUGGGACUGAGACACGGCCCAGACUCCUACGGGAGGCAGCAG
This 323-nucleotide small RNA is filed under the name uncultured bacterium. RNAcentral's name for it is "bacterial SSU rRNA". It matches the Rfam family "Bacterial small subunit ribosomal RNA", at positions 58 to 351 of the family's 1533-position model. The record is from RNAcentral.